Non-coding RNA from Caenorhabditis briggsae, 104 nucleotides. The record is from Rfam. NCBI's taxonomy places the organism in Eukaryota, Metazoa, Nematoda, Chromadorea, Rhabditida, Rhabditidae.
CUUAUAGUGAGAGUUUUGAAGGAAUCCUAAUAAUAAAUUUGUGAUUUCAGGAACCAAAAUCGAAUCCUAUGUAUCUUCGAGAAUUCACAGAGAAGGUUAUGGGU